AGCGAACGCUGGCGGCAGGCUUAACACAUGCAAGUCGAGCGGGCACUUCGGUGUCAGCGGCAGACGGGUGAGUAACACGUGGGAACGUACCCUUUGGUUCGGAAUAACGCUGGGAAACUAGCGCUAAUACCGGAUACGCCCUUUUGGGGAAAGGCUUGCUGCCGAAGGAUCGGCCCGCGUCUGAUUAGCUAGUUGGUGGGGUAAUGGCCUACCAAGGCGACGAUCAGUAGCUGGUCUGAGAGGAUGAUCAGCCACACUGGGACUGAGACACGGCCCAGACUCCUACGGGAAGCAGCAGUGGGGAAUAUUGGACAAUGGGCGCAAGCCUGAUCCAGCCAUGCCGCGUGAGUGAUGAAGGCCUUAGGGUUGUAAAGCUCUUUAGUCCGGGACGAUAAUGACGGUACCGGAAGAAUAAGCCCCGGCUAACUUCGUG
Molecule: ribosomal RNA, 433 nt
Filed under: uncultured bacterium
Lineage: Bacteria
Description: partial 16S ribosomal RNA
Rfam family: Bacterial small subunit ribosomal RNA
Source: RNAcentral